This is a long non-coding RNA of Branchiostoma floridae (Florida lancelet), 758 nucleotides long. RefSeq lists it as uncharacterized. The record is from RefSeq and is a predicted model, not a curated record. The transcript is spliced from 3 exons. NCBI's taxonomy places the organism in Eukaryota, Metazoa, Chordata, Leptocardii, Amphioxiformes, Branchiostomatidae.
CUUCUCUUGUGUGGUCUUAGGACGGACGGGACCACCGGGCCGCCGCCCUCCCACCACCCGCGGCUGCCCUCCCACCACCCACCACCCAGUGUAGUGCGAACCAGCAGGGACAGGGUCGGCACGCUGUACACACAGCACAGCAUCUACAACAAGGCUUACAACGACGCCAUUAUUCUCAGGCGACCAAGAACACACCCGGACCACAGUAUAUAUGGCAGACCCCAGUCAACAGACUGGAUUCACUAUACGAGACAGCGGCACGAGUGCAAGGUCAAACCAGGUCAUCACCAUUGGCAACCGGGCCUACACAGUUCCACUGCACCAAUAGAGGACAUUCUUUCAUCAGCACACCAUGGAUUAAAACUGAGCGACCGGCUUGCGCGAGACGACCAACAGAAACAUCAAUGCCUCUAACGUCAACAUAAACGCCGCAACACACAGCGACGCCCGACGAACGUCGGUACCCACGGUGGCGCGACUACGGCCGGCGGCCUACGGUAAUGGGCAACCCGUGAUGAAGAGCCGUCAAUCACUAUGCAAGUAAACAGGAACUAUACAUGUAACUUUACUGUCUAUGCUCUAUAAUCAUAUAUACUGACAUUAUUCUUCACUUAAAUGUACCAUAUGAAGACUCAACGUGGUCGUAUGUCUAACUUUGCUGGUAAUUCAUGAUAAGUAGUUACACAUAUGGUUAUCCUUUCAACUAGACUAUGUUGAUGCACAUGCAUGCCUGUUUCAUGUAGAGAUAUGCCUCUUCC